UACGUAGGUGGCAAGCGUUGUCCGGAUUUACUGGGCGUAAAGAGCGCGCAGGCGGUCGUUCAAGUCGCGUGUGAAAGCCCCCGGCUCAACUGGGGAGGGUCACGCGAUACUGAUCGACUGGAAGGCAGGAGAGGGUAGUGGAAUUCUCGGUGUAGUGGUGAAAUGCGUAGAUAUCGGGAGGAACACCAGUGGCGAAGGCGACUACCUGGCCUGUUCUUGACGCUGAGGCGCGAAAGCUAGGGGAGCAAACGGG
This 253-nucleotide ribosomal RNA is filed under the name uncultured bacterium. Its description in RNAcentral is "partial 16S ribosomal RNA". It matches the Rfam family "Bacterial small subunit ribosomal RNA", at positions 524 to 776 of the family's 1533-position model. The record is from RNAcentral.